UGGGGAAUAUUGCACAAUGGGGGAAACCCUGAUGCAGCGACGCCGCGUGAACGAAGAAGGUAUUCGUAUCGUAAAGUUCUGUCCUAUGGGAAGAUAAUGACAGUACCAUAGAAGAACGCUCCGGCUAAAUACGUGCCAGCAGCCGCGGUAAUACGUAUGGAGCGAGCGUUGACCGGAAUUAUUGGGCGUAAAGGGUACGCAGGCGGUUUAAUAAGUCGAAUGUUAAAGAUCGGGGCUCAACCCCGCAAAGCAUUGGAAACUGAUAAACUUGAGUAGUGGAGAGGAAAGUGGAAUUCCUAGUGUAGUGGUGAAAUACGUAGAUAUUAGGAGGAAUACCAGUAGCGAAGGCGACUUUCUGGACACAAACUGACGCUGAGGUACGAAAGCGUGGGGAGCAAACAGG
RNAcentral lists this ribosomal RNA (403 nucleotides) under bacterium. Its description in RNAcentral is "partial 16S ribosomal RNA". It matches the Rfam family "Bacterial small subunit ribosomal RNA", at positions 355 to 776 of the family's 1533-position model. The record is from RNAcentral.